CGGACGGGUGAGUAACGCGUGGGGAACCUGCCCUGUACAGGGGGAUAACACUUAGAAAUAGGUGCUAAUACCGCAUAAGCGCACAGUAUCGCAUGAUACAGUGUGAAAAACUCCGGUGGUACAGGAUGGACCCGCGUCUGAUUAGCUGGUUGGCGGGGUAACGGCCCACCAAGGCGACGAUCAGUAGCCAGCCUGAGAGGGUGAACGGCCACAUUGGGACUGAGACACGGCCCAAACUCCUACGGGAGGCAGCAG
This 255-nucleotide ribosomal RNA is filed under the name uncultured bacterium. Its description in RNAcentral is "partial 16S ribosomal RNA". It matches the Rfam family "Bacterial small subunit ribosomal RNA", at positions 99 to 354 of the family's 1533-position model. The record is from RNAcentral.